RNAcentral lists this ribosomal RNA (906 nucleotides) under Sphingobacterium faecium. RNAcentral describes it as "bacterial SSU rRNA". It matches the Rfam family "Bacterial small subunit ribosomal RNA", at positions 56 to 955 of the family's 1533-position model. The record is from RNAcentral. Lineage: Bacteria; Pseudomonadati; Bacteroidota; Sphingobacteriia; Sphingobacteriales; Sphingobacteriaceae.
UGCAGUCGGACGGGAUUCAGGGAGUAGCUUGCUACGAACUGAUGAGAGUGGCGCACGGGUGCGUAACGCGUGAGCAACCUACCCAUAUCAGGGGGAUAGCCUCUCGAAAGAGAGAUUAACACCGCAUAACAUCAUUUACCGGCAUCGGUUUUUGAUCAAAUAUUUAUAGGAUAUGGAUGGGCUCGCGUGACAUUAGCUAGUUGGAGAGGUAACGGCUCACCAAGGCUACGAUGUCUAGGGGCUCUGAGAGGAGAAUCCCCCACACUGGUACUGAGACACGGACCAGACUCCUACGGGAGGCAGCAGUAAGGAAUAUUGGUCAAUGGAGGCAACUCUGAACCAGCCAUGCCGCGUGCAGGAUGACUGCCCUAUGGGUUGUAAACUGCUUUUGUCAGGGAAUAAACCUUUCUACGUGUAGGAAGCUGAAUGUACCUGAAGAAUAAGGAUCGGCUAACUCCGUGCCAGCAGCCGCGGUAAUACGGAGGAUCCAAGCGUUAUCCGGAUUUAUUGGGUUUAAAGGGUGCGUAGGCGGUCCUAUAAGUCAGUGGUGAAAGACGGCAGCUUAACUGUCGCAGUGCCUUUGAUACUGUAGGACUUGAAUCUAUUUGAAGUGGGCGGAAUAAGACAAGUAGCGGUGAAAUGCAUAGAUAUGUCUUAGAACUCCGAUUGCGAAGGCAGCUCACUAAGUUAGUAUUGACGCUGAUGCACGAAAGCGUGGGGAUCAAACAGGAUUAGAUACCCUGGUAGUCCACGCCCUAAACGAUGAUAACUCGAUGUUUGCGAUACACAGUAAGCGGCCAAGCGAAAGCGUUAAGUUAUCCACCUGGGGAGUACGGCCGCAGGAUUGAAACUCAAAGGAAUUGGCGGGGGCCCGCCCAAGCGGAAGAACAUGUGGGUUAAUUCGAU